CUACUACAGAGGGAAUUUAAAGACUAGAAAGGAUAUGUUGUCAUACAGGCAUCUCCUCGUCCAAAAGAUUAUAGUCAAAAUGCUGUGAUCCUGUGCCAACUUCCCCUGGAACUCUGCUUCAAAAAGCAGGGCUGUGCUCUUCAGAAUUUCUUCUGCCAAAAUUGAAGCUUUGCAGAACAGACACGUACCAGCCUGGAAAUAUCUGCUGCCUCUGAACAAAAUGUCAGACUCUGGAUGCAAUCCUAUCUGGCCUGCAUAGCUUGCCCAAGAUACUGCAAGUCUAUUUCAGACAGUAACAACAAUUCCUAGACCUUUUUCCAGGUCUCACCCUUGUGAUCUUGUUUAGCUCUGUGGUUAGGAACCUCUACUGAUUCAAAAGGUUAUUCCAAUGAGAUUGCAAAACUGUGAAGAAUUCUAAGGUCUACUUUUCAGAGACCUUUAUAAAAUGCUCCCUCCCAGUUUCUACCUUGGUUCUAGUUCUAAGAGAGAACAUCUGAGGAGAUGGAGAGGAAUGCAGGUAACUAGGUAAAUGAGUCUGAUCAAAACUGUGUCUGCAAGAAGCUCUAAACUGCCAGUAGUUCUCCAGUUUCAGUUUUACUUGUGUGUCUGUCAGCAUAACAGAGUAUCUUGAACAUUGAAGGGAGCAAAAGAAAAUAAAUGCUUACUCUAGCAUUAAGAGAUUGAUCCUUAGCUACUGGGCUGAAAGCCUCUUAAAAGGGGCUAAAACCUUCAGCUCCUUUUGAUUUGAUUACACGCACUAAUCAUCUGUUCCAACUUAAGUUAUGGUGAGAGAUCUGGGUGCAAAUGCUUCACAGGCUGUUCUCUAUUGCUCUGCUCACAGCUGCAGUAAGGUCAAGCAGGGAGGUGAGACCUUGGAAUGGUACAAACCAGGGAGGUGAGACUACUUGGGAAUGUAGUUAGCUGUCAGUUAACUAACCAAUAGUUGCUGCUGGCACCUUUAAUCAGUGGCAGGUCUGCAGGAAGUGACCAAAUCUCAGUAUGACGUAACACCAAAACAGCCUGCAGUGGUUCUGCCAUAACGCUGGUUAGUAAUGCAGGCAGUUACACUGGGAAAAUAUGAAUUCUAAGCUCCUCAGAGAUGUCUUGAAUGAAGACCUCCAGUUAAAGCUGCUUCAAGCUUGCACAUCUGGCAAAUAUUUGUUUUUAAUCCUUAGGAAAACUCUGUAGUUUGUGAAAAUAUGCAUUAUGGAAGAGUUUUGUUUGCUCUUCACUUGAAUUGCUGGGUUUAAA
Long non-coding RNA from Lagopus leucura (white-tailed ptarmigan), 1251 nucleotides. RefSeq lists it as uncharacterized. The record is from RefSeq and is a predicted model, not a curated record. NCBI's taxonomy places the organism in Eukaryota, Metazoa, Chordata, Aves, Galliformes, Phasianidae. The transcript has 3 exons.